UACAGAGGGUGCAAGCGUUGUUCGGAAUUAUUGGGCGUAAAGGGCGCGUAGGCGGUGCCACAAGUCACCUGUGAAAUCUCCGGGCUUAACUCGGAGCCUGCAGGCGAAACUGUGGUGCUGGAGUGUGGGAGAGGUGCGUGGAAUUCUCGGUGUAGCGGUGAAAUGCGUAGAUAUCGAGAGGAACACCUGCGGCGAAGGCGGGUUGCUGGGCUGACACUGACGCUGAUGCGCGAAAGCUAGGGGAGCGAACGGG
Molecule: ribosomal RNA, 253 nt
Filed under: uncultured bacterium
Lineage: Bacteria
Description: partial 16S ribosomal RNA
Rfam family: Bacterial small subunit ribosomal RNA
Source: RNAcentral